RNAcentral lists this ribosomal RNA (497 nucleotides) under uncultured bacterium. RNAcentral's name for it is "partial 16S ribosomal RNA". It matches the Rfam family "Bacterial small subunit ribosomal RNA", at positions 28 to 507 of the family's 1533-position model. The record is from RNAcentral.
GAUGAACGCUGGCGGCGUGCCUAAUACAUGCAAGUCGAGCGAACGGACGAGAAGCUUGCUUCUCUGAUGUUAGCGGCGGACGGGUGAGUAACACGUGGAUAACCUACCUAUAAGACUGGGAUAACUUCGGGAAACCGGAGCUAAUACCGGAUAAUAUUUUGAACCGCAUGGUUCAAAAGUGAAAGACGGUCUUGCUGUCACUUAUAGAUGGAUCCGCGCUGCAUUAGCUAGUUGGUAAGGUAACGGCUUACCAAGGCAACGAUGCAUAGCCGACCUGAGAGGGUGAUCGGCCACACGGGAGCGGAGACACGGACCAGACUCCUACGGGAGGCAGCAGUAGGGAAUCUUCGGCAAGGGGCGAAAGCCUGACGGAGCAACGCCGCGUGAGUGAUGAAGGUCUUCGGAGCGUAAAACUCUGUUAUUAGGGAAGAACAUAUGUGUAAGUAACUGUGCACAUCUUGACGGUACCUAAUCAGAAAGCCACGGCUAACUACGUG